Odocoileus virginianus texanus is the source of this 338-nucleotide non-coding RNA. Lineage: Eukaryota; Metazoa; Chordata; Mammalia; Artiodactyla; Cervidae. The record is from RefSeq and is a predicted model, not a curated record.
CCGGCUGCUGGCUGGCCGAGCCAAGCCUCUGACCCAAGGCAUCUGGACGUAGACCUGUGCUAUCCGUGCUGUGCCCUGUGACCCAGCCUUCCACCGGCUCUGGUCUCUGCUCAUGGCCACAGCUGCACCCACAUAUGGCACGGAAGACCAAGUGAAAGGCACCAGGUGCUGUGGAUGGAUACUGGGAGGGGCAAAAGCAGAUACACGUCAUCCCUGGCCUCGUGGAACUGAUGAAGACAUGGAGCAUACAGGCAGCUGGAGGACUGAUUCCUUGACUCCACUCCUGCCCUCCACCUCCUCCUUGGAACUGCAUCCACUGAUCUCUGACUUGGACCCUG